UACGGAGGGUGCAAGCAUUAAUCGGAAUUAUUGGGCGUAAAGGGCGCGUAGGCGGUUUUGUAAGUCAGAUGUGAAAUUCCAAGACUCAAUCUUGGACCUGCAUUUGAAACUGCAAAUCUGGAGGAUAGGCGGAGAAAGCGGAAUUCCACAUGUAGCGGUGAAGUGCGUGGAUAUGUGGAAGAACACCGGUGGCGAAAGCGGCUUUCUAGCUUAUUCCUGACGCUGAGGCGCGAGAGCAAGGGGAGCAAACAGG
RNAcentral lists this ribosomal RNA (253 nucleotides) under uncultured bacterium. Its description in RNAcentral is "partial 16S ribosomal RNA". It matches the Rfam family "Bacterial small subunit ribosomal RNA", at positions 524 to 776 of the family's 1533-position model. The record is from RNAcentral.